UCUACUCAUAGACCAAGGAACAACCUCUUUCUAGCACGAACAACCUCUAUUCUAGUACAUACAACCCAGGAUGGAGGAACCAACUGAAUUUCUUGUAGAAACCACAACCACAAUACCAGAACCCUCCUCAACCCACCUCGAGUACCCAUAGCUCUGCUUUCAAAGAAAAGGUGCUGCAAGCACUAAAGGACUAGAAGUGAGCACCAAAAUUCUUCACUCCCAUAUGCAAUUAAUAGCAAAGCUGGAGAUCUAGAUAGGUCAGCUAGCAACAGCUUUCAGUAGG
This 283-nucleotide long non-coding RNA is filed under the name Elaeis guineensis (African oil palm). RNAcentral's name for it is "long non-coding RNA (EGUI_LNC053522)". Lineage: Eukaryota; Viridiplantae; Streptophyta; Magnoliopsida; Arecales; Arecaceae. The record is from RNAcentral.